This is a long non-coding RNA of Etheostoma spectabile (orangethroat darter), 1857 nucleotides long. RefSeq lists it as uncharacterized. NCBI's taxonomy places the organism in Eukaryota, Metazoa, Chordata, Actinopteri, Perciformes, Percidae. The record is from RefSeq and is a predicted model, not a curated record. The transcript has 3 exons.
AAUAAAUCUGCGGAAAAUCUGCAUAAUUCUGCGCUCACAGAUUCCGUGUGGCCCUCAUUGUUACUCAACCUUUUGGUUUACAGACCAACUUCCUGGUUCUACUUGGACCUAGCAUUCUUACCGUAGUUGUGUGGCCUGAUAGUUGCGUUGAAUUGUCAUUUUGUUUCACUUAAUGCAUUCAACGUGACAUGGUGGUCAUGUUAGCCAAUUUCUCAACGAUCAUAGAAAUAUAGUAAUACCGUAUAGUUUUGUAAGUACAACAACGUGUAUUGCUGCCUUACUCUCAUCCAUGGCUUUGCCCAUUUUUUAUAGCCAUUGUGAUUUUUUUUUUUAUUGUGUUAAGAUGUAGCUAUUUUUUUGACUCUUGAAUAAAAAGCUGACGUCGCUAUUUCACAACUAAACACCUCUUAUACAAUAGGUGGAUUGUUUCUCCAUUAAAGGGAGAACACAAAACAGGACUCCAUGAACUGCUCCAUAAAUUGGAGAUUCAGAGGCCUGGAACCAGGAAUUUCACUGAUCUCACACUUUAGGCCACACUCCCUUUCGAUUUUAAUAUGAAAUAAAGUGGUUUAGAUUAUUCAGCUAAAGUGCUAGCUUGUUAAGUCUGAUCAGACUUUGUUGUGGCGAUGUCGUCUUGUUUCCAGAUCUUAGAAAUUACUUUGUUGAGUACAACAAUAAAACCUAAGUUUUUAUAAAGCGGAAUUGUCUUUUAAUUUAAAAAAUAAUAAUAACAAUAAUAAGGCUAUGCUGCCAUUAUACAAGGACAGCCUGCAGUUUUGUCUUUGUUUCUGUUUUGAAAGUUCACAAGUAGCGUAAAGCAUGUUCUUCCCAGUUUAAUUCAAGUACAACCCCAUUGAAUAAUUAAGAUGAUCAUUUUAGAAUUAAGCUUAGCAGUGUGGUUAGCAAUUAAUAAUCUGACUAAACCUUUUGAGGGUUUUGAUUUGUUCAGUGUUUUGUAUCAAAAUGUCCAAAUAUUCAUAAUGCGCUAUCCAAAUGAAGUAAUCUCCCACUUAUAUUUUAAACAAUAACUGCAGUCGUGAGGAAAACUUUGUAUCGAUUUAGCCUCUGCAGUACUUUAUGGAAUCUUGUGAGAAUCCCGUGUUAUCACUAAAUGUUGUCACUGAUUGUAGUUAUCUAUAAACGCUGUCAAAUUCUUCAAUACCUGAAUACUUGAGCUCUGUAGUAGUCCUUACUAACUGAUAAAAAUUUGAUUAAACACAGUGACAAAUAUUUGUAACCUUUCAUGUCCGAUUUUGUUUAAUUCUACAGCUUGCCUUUAUAGACGUGAUUUAAAUGCUACGUCUUAUAUCCCUGUGAAAUUACCUCCGCCAUUGCCCGAGACCUGUUGGGGGCUCGUCUGAACUAUUUAAAAUGUGGAGCUUUAUGAGCUCCUUUAACAGUGUCUAAGUAGAACUGUCAACGUGCAUGGAUUGAUUGUAAUGAUUUUGAUGGAUCUAUGUAAUAUUUAUGGACCACAAGUUUGCCGCCAUCCAUCAUAGCAUAGCAAAUGCUGCAUCAUACCAAGGGACUGUGGCUAUGGUAUGACAACAACUACAUUUCAAAAGCCCCUAUUUAUUUAUAAAUGACUAUGGAAUCACUGCCACAUUGGAUUUGUACUGCUCUGGGUGAUGAAUACUAUGCUAUAUAUUUUGAAAGCAAGCCCUUGUCCUUGUAGGAAAGCUAUUUCAAAUGAGAAUAUGUGUUUAUUUCAUUGUAAUUAUUUAGAAAAUCCACCACCUUAGAUUCAGUUUAUACAGGCUCUAAAACAACUAUGAUUGUGGUCAAAUUCAACCCAUAAGACCCAGAACGAGCAAUAUAUUAUGACAAGCAAAGAAGGUAUUUUUUCUAAUGUCAAAA